RNAcentral lists this ribosomal RNA (1075 nucleotides) under Ecklonia radiata. Its description in RNAcentral is "bacterial SSU rRNA". It matches the Rfam family "Bacterial small subunit ribosomal RNA", at positions 1 to 1130 of the family's 1533-position model. Lineage: Eukaryota; Phaeophyceae; Laminariales; Lessoniaceae. The record is from RNAcentral.
UAAAAAAAAUGAGUUUGAUCCUGGCUCAGAGUGAAGGCUAUAAGUCUGCUUUAAUACAUGCGAGUUGAAUGGUUAAAACCAUAGCGUACGGGUGAGUAAUAGGCUAAUAUCUGGCUUCAACUUCGGAAUAAUCUUAUCUCGUAGGGAGAGAAGGUAACAAGAGAAUACCGGAUAAUUAAAAAAAGGUCUGCCGGUUGAAGAUGAUUAGGUUCAGUAUUAGGUAGUUGGUGAGGUAAUGCUCACCAAGCCAAUGAUGCUUAGUUGGUCUGAUAGGACGAUCAAUCACACUGGGACUGAGACAAGGCCCAGGUUUCAUUUGAAGGCAGCAGUAAGGAAUAUUGGACAAUGAGCGAAAGCUUGAUCCAGCAAGGCUUGGUGAGGGAUUGAAGGCUUAGGUUGUAAACCUCUUUUUUAGUUGAGGAUAAUGACAGUAGAUUAAGAAUAAGUCCCGACUAACUUCGUGCCAGCAGUCGCGGUAAUACGGAGGGGGCAAGCCUUAUUCGUCAUAACUGGGCGUAAAGGGCCCGUAGGUGGUUUUUUGAUAUGUUAUUUGUCAAAAACUGUAGUUUAAUUAUAGAUAGGCAUUUAAAACAAGAAAACUUGAGUCUGACAGAGGAGGAUGGAAUUUUUCAAUUAGGGUUAGAAUCCAGAUAAGUGAAAAAGAACAUCAUGUGCGAUAGCGAUUUUCUUGUUCAGUACUGACGCUGAGGGGCGAAGGCGUAGGUAGCGAACAGGAUUUGAGACCCUGGUAGUCUAUGCUGUCAACGAUGAGUGCUAGCUUUUAGAAAUCUAGAAGAUAUAGCUAAGGCAUUAAGCACUCCGCCUGAGGAGUACGAGCGCAAGCUUAAAAAUCAACGGAAUUGGCGGGGGUUCAAACAAGUGGUGGAGCAUGUGGUUUAAUGCGAUAAUACGCGCGUAACCUUACCAGUUCUUGUAAGUUUGUCGUUCUUUCGGAGACGUAAAGAAUUUUGGGACUUUCAGGUGUUGCAUGGCUGUCGUCAGCUCGUGUCGUGAGAUGUACGGUUAAUUCCUGUAACUGAGCGUAACCCUUAUUUAUUUUAUGUUUUGAAGUGGU